AUACAUGCAGUCGACGCUUCUUUCCUCCCGAGUGCUUGCACUCAAUUGGAAAGAGGAGUGGCGGACGGGUGAGUAACACGUGGGUAACCUACCCAUCAGAGGGGGAUAACACUUGGAAACAGGUGCUAAUACCGCAUAACAGUUUAUGCCGCAUGGCAUAAGAGUGAAAGGCGCUUUCGGGUGUCGCUGAUGGAUGGACCCGCGGUGCAUUAGCUAGUUGGUGAGGUAACGGCUCACCAAGGCCACGAUGCAUAGCCGACCUGAGAGGGUGAUCGGCCACACUGGGACUGAGACACGGCCCAGACUCCUACGGGAGGCAGCAGUAGGGAAUCUUCGGCAAUGGACGAAAGUCUGACCGAGCAACGCCGCGUGAGUGAAGAAGGUUUUCGGAUCGUAAAACUCUGUUGUUAGAGAAGAACAAGGACGUUAGUAACUGAACGUCCCCUGACGGUAUCUAACCAGAAAGCCACGGCUAACUACGUGCCAGCAGCCGCGGUAAUACGUAGGUGGCAAGCGUUGUCCGGAUUUAUUGGGCGUAAAGCGAGCGCAGGCGGUUUCUUAAGUCUGAUGUGAAAGCCCCCGGCUCAACCGGGGAGGGUCAUUGGAAACUGGGAGACUUGAGUGCAGAAGAGGAGAGUGGAAUUCCAUGUGUAGCGGUGAAAUGCGUAGAUAUAUGGAGGAACACCAGUGGCGAAGGCGGCUCUCUGGUCUGUAACUGACGCUGAGGCUCGAAAGCGUGGGGAGCAAACAGGAUUAGAC
This 759-nucleotide ribosomal RNA is filed under the name Enterococcus faecalis. RNAcentral describes it as "bacterial SSU rRNA". It matches the Rfam family "Bacterial small subunit ribosomal RNA", at positions 51 to 783 of the family's 1533-position model. The record is from RNAcentral. Lineage: Bacteria; Bacillati; Bacillota; Bacilli; Lactobacillales; Enterococcaceae.